RNAcentral lists this ribosomal RNA (443 nucleotides) under uncultured bacterium. RNAcentral's name for it is "partial 16S ribosomal RNA". It matches the Rfam family "Bacterial small subunit ribosomal RNA", at positions 338 to 795 of the family's 1533-position model. The record is from RNAcentral.
CCUACGGGAGGCAGCAGUGGGGGAUAUUGCACAAUGGGGGAAACCCUGAUGCAGCGACGCCGCGUGGGCGAAGAAGUAUUUCGGUAUGUAAAGCCCUAUCAGCAGGGGAGAAGAAAUGACGGUACCUGAGUAAGAAGCACCGGCUAAAUACGUGCCAGCAGCCGCGGUAAUACGUAUGGUGCAAGCGUUAUCCGGAUUUACUGGGUGUAAAGGGAGCGCAGGCGGCACGGCAAGCCUGAUGGGAAAGCCCGCGGCCGAACCGCGGGACUGCAUUGGGAACUACCGGGCUGGAGUGCAGGAGAGGGAGGGGGAAUUCCUAGGGGAGCGGUGAAAAGCGUAGAUAUUAGGAGGAACACCAGUGGCGAAGGCGGCCUACUGGACGGUGACUGACGUUGAGGCCCGAAAGCGGUGGGAGCAAACAGGAUUAGAUACCCCGAGUAGUC